GGUUUUUUCUUGAAUCUACUGACUCAUUACACAUUUGGGUCUAUUUCGGUUUUUGGUUCAAAAACUGGCAAGGAUGAGAGGUGGGGUGUCUCAAAGUUUCAAGCUUUACCUUCUCCAUGUGUUCCUACUGCUGCUUUACCUCCAGGACUCCAGUUGCGGUUCAGUGAAUUCUCUCAAGGGUUCUUUAAACAUGGACAGAAAGGAGGACACUUUGUUGCCUGAGAUCUCCCCAACUGCUUCUCCUCAGCCCUUUCUCCCUCUUUUGGCACCUUCUCCGUGGGCACCUUUUACAAACAGCACUUUACCAAAAUUAUCGGGACUCUGUACGCUGAAAUUUGAUGCUGUGGAAAGAAUGAUGGGUGUGACAUCAAUUGAUUGUGUUGCUCCAUUUGCGGAGUAUCUAGCUAAUGUCAUGUGUUGCCCACAACUUGAAGCAACUCUGGUUAUUCUUAUUGGGCAGUCUAGUAAAUUCACAAAUAUGCUUGCUUUAAAUGGCACAGUUGCAAAGCAUUGCCUUUCAGAUUUUCAGCAAAUUCUGGUGAGCCAGGGUGCCAAUGAUACUUUACAGCACAUAUGCUCUCUCCAUCCAUCAAAUCUGACAGAAGGUUCUUGCCCAGUCAAAGGUGUUCAUGAGUUUGAAACCACAGUGGACUCAUCUAGCCUACUUGCUGCCUGUGGGAAGAUU
RNAcentral lists this unclassified non-coding RNA (685 nucleotides) under Hevea brasiliensis (rubber tree). The record is from RNAcentral. Lineage: Eukaryota; Viridiplantae; Streptophyta; Magnoliopsida; Malpighiales; Euphorbiaceae.